GAGCUUGCUCUCGGGUGACGAGCGGCGGACGGGUGAGUAAUGUCUGGGAAACUGCCUGAUGGAGGGGGAUAACUACUGGAAACGGUAGCUAAUACCGCAUAACGUCGCAAGACCAAAGUGGGGGACCUUCGGGCCUCAUGCCAUCAGAUGUGCCCAGAUGGGAUUAGCUGGUAGGUGGGGUAACGGCUCACCUAGGCGACGAUCCCUAGCUGGUCUGAGAGGAUGACCAGCCACACUGGAACUGAGACACGGUCCAGACUCCUACGGGAGGCAGCAGUGGGGAAUAUUGCACAAUGGGCGCAAGCCUGAUGCAGCCAUGCCGCGUGUGUGAAGAAGGCCUUCGGGUUGUAAAGCACUUUCAGCGGGGAGGAAGGCGGUGAGGUUAAUAACCUCAUCGAUUGACGUUACCCGCAGAAGAAGCACCGGCUAACUCCGUGCCAGCAGCCGCGGUAAUACGGAGGGUGCAAGCGUUAAUCGGAAUUACUGGGCGUAAAGCGCACGCAGGCGGUCUGUCAAGUCGGAUGUGAAAUCCCCGGGCUCAACCUGGGAACUGCAUUCGAAACUGGCAGGCUAGAGUCUUGUAGAGGGGGGUAGAAUUCCAGGUGUAGCGGUGAAAUGCGUAGAGAUCUGGAGGAAUACCGGUGGCGAAGGCGGCCCCCUGGACAAAGACUGACGCUCAGGUGCGAAAGCGUGGGGAGCAAACAGGAUUAGAUACCCUGGUAGUCCACGCUGUAAACGAUGUCGAUUUGGAGGUUGUGCCCUUGAGGCGUGGCUUCCGGAGCUAACGCGUUAAAUCGACCGCCUGGGGAGUACGGCCGCAAGGUUAAAACUCAAAUGAAUUGACGGGGGCCCGCACAAGCGGUGGAGCAUGUGGUUUAAUUCGAUGCAACGCGAAGAACCUUACCUGGUCUUGACAUCCACAGAACUUUCCAGAGAUGGAUUGGUGCCUUCGGGAACUGUGAGACAGGUGCUGCAUGGCUGUCGUCAGCUCGUGUUGUGAAAUGUUGGGUUAAGUCCCGCAACGAGCGCAACCCUUAUCCUUUGUUGCCAGCGGUUAGGCCGGGAACUCAAAGGAGACUGCCAGUGAUAAACUGGAGGAAGGUGGGGAUGACGUCAAGUCAUCAUGGCCCUUACGACCAGGGCUACACACGUGCUACAAUGGCAUAUACAAAGAGAAGCGACCUCGCGAGAGCAAGCGGACCUCAUAAAGUAUGUCGUAGUCCGGAUUGGAGUCUGCAACUCGACUCCAUGAAGUCGGAAUCGCUAGUAAUCGUAGAUCAGAAUGCUACGGUGAAUACGUUCCCGGGCCUUGUACACACCGCCCGUCACACCAUGGGAGUGGGUUGCAAAAGAAGUAGGUAGCUUAACCUUCGGG
This 1375-nucleotide ribosomal RNA is filed under the name Klebsiella variicola. Its description in RNAcentral is "bacterial SSU rRNA". It matches the Rfam family "Bacterial small subunit ribosomal RNA", at positions 76 to 1446 of the family's 1533-position model. The record is from RNAcentral. Lineage: Bacteria; Pseudomonadati; Pseudomonadota; Gammaproteobacteria; Enterobacterales; Enterobacteriaceae.